GGCUUCUUGUCUAAGGUAAAUAAGAAGUCCGGCCUGCCCGGUGAAAUUAUUUUAACGGCAGAGGUAAAAUUCUUUAAUUGUAGCUCAAUUUCCUUGCCCUUUAAUUGGGGAGCGAUGUGAAUGGUAAGACGAGGGUCCAACUGUCUCACUACCAUAAAGUGAAAACGGAGUGUAGGUGAAAAUACCUACAUGGGCCAUAGGGACGACAAGACCCCGUGGAGCUUUAGUGUACUUUUUCCGAGUUGGAAAUUUGGUUGCUUAGGCUGGGGCAGCCGGACGGGAUAAAAAUACCGUUGGAGAGACAACCAGAGCAUGCGGGCUCUUAACGAUCCACCCUUACCGCGGUAAAGGUGAACGACGGAAUAAGCUACCCCGGGGGUAACAGGCUAAUUUCGCUCUGAGAGAUCCUGUCGAUGAGCGGGUUUGGCACCUCGAUGUUGGCUCAGGGUAUCCGGAAGAUGCAGGAGUCUUCAAUGGUUGGUCUGUUCGCCCAUUAAAACCCUGCG
RNAcentral lists this ribosomal RNA (506 nucleotides) under Limaria pellucida. Its description in RNAcentral is "partial 16S ribosomal RNA". It matches the Rfam family "Bacterial large subunit ribosomal RNA", at positions 1817 to 2600 of the family's 2925-position model. Lineage: Eukaryota; Metazoa; Mollusca; Bivalvia; Limoida; Limidae. The record is from RNAcentral.